This is a long non-coding RNA of Triticum aestivum (bread wheat), 842 nucleotides long. RefSeq lists it as uncharacterized. The transcript is spliced from 2 exons. The record is from RefSeq and is a predicted model, not a curated record. NCBI's taxonomy places the organism in Eukaryota, Viridiplantae, Streptophyta, Magnoliopsida, Poales, Poaceae.
CAAACCUACCUCAUCAGAUGGAUUAACUCUGGCGUGGUCCGCCCCUCACUAGACCUCCUCGGACUGCCUAUAAAAGGCCUACCCGAGCUUCAUUCAUCACUCACACCACUCCAUCAUCAUCCCAAUCGACCUCUCGCACACUCCCUCGACCUCGAGAAGGUCUUCUUCUCCACUUCCGGCUCCGUUCCGCCGCGGUACCCGAGAACCUCUCGUCGCCGUUAGGCCAUCUUCGCCACCAAAACAUCGUAAGUAGUCGUCUAGUCCACCAUGUAGUCGAUCCCGCGCCUCAAUUCGUCAACCGGAGCCCUCUUCGGCGGGAUCCGCCACCACCCGACGCCACCGUCCGCCGGAAACGACCUCGCCAUCAUUCUGGUGCUCGCCAGCGACAACCACCACCACCCACUGAUGUGGGGUGCCACCCCGAGCACAUCCCAGCCAUUGCCACCUCCUGAAACGCCGGCGAUCGCCGCCGGUGACCACUGCACCCCCUCCGUACGCGCGCACGAUCAUGGUCCUGGAGGAGGACGAGCUUGUGGAGGAAGGUUGCGCUAGCGAGCCCGACGCUUAGAGUUGUUCCUGGUUAGUCAACCGUGGUCUUGGAGUCUACCACAUGUAUCAUCCGCUGUGCUUUCGCUUCCCAAAUAAAAUAGUCAAGCCUCACUCUGAUGCUUGGCUCUAUUUUAUUGUAUCGGUGUUGUACUACCAUCAAACCACUGUCAUAUACCGCCACCACCAUAUAUUGCAAAUUUGUAAUAAAUAGUGGAGCACCCUGGCUCAACCCGAUGUAAUAUUAUGUCGUACUGGUUAUAAAUAUCAAGGAAGUCCACCAGUUGUUUUGAUCU